GGAGUCUGGUCCGUGUCUCAGUACCAGUGUGGGGGACCUUCCUCUCAGAACCCCUACUGAUCGUCGGCCAGGUGGGCCGUUACCCCGCCUGCAACCUAAUCAGACGCAUCCCCAUCCCAUAGCGGUGAAACCUUUGUUCCUCAUUAGAUGCCUGCAAAGGAAAACAUAGGGUAUUAAUCCGCAUUUCUACGGGCUAUCCCUGAGUGAUGGGAAGGUUGGAUACGCGUUACUCACCCGUGCGCCGGUCGCCAUCUAUCAAAGCAAGCUUCGAUAAUGCUGCCCCUCGACUUGCAUGUGUUAAGCCUGUAGCUAGCGUUCAUC
RNAcentral lists this ribosomal RNA (321 nucleotides) under uncultured Prevotella sp. RNAcentral describes it as "partial 16S ribosomal RNA". Lineage: Bacteria; Pseudomonadati; Bacteroidota; Bacteroidia; Bacteroidales; Prevotellaceae. The record is from RNAcentral.